UGGGGAAUUUUGGACAAUGGGCGAAAGCCUGAUCCAGCAAUGCCGCGUGUGCGAAGAAGGCCUUCGGGUUGUAAAGCACUUUUGUCCGGAAAGAAAUCCUUGGCUCUAAUACAGUCGGGGGAUGACGGUACCGGAAGAAUAAGCACCGGCUAACUACGUGCCAGCAGCCGCGGUAAUACGUAGGGUGCAAGCGUUAAUCGGAAUUACUGGGCGUAAAGCGUGCGCAGGCGGUUUGCUAAGACCGAUGUGAAAUCCCCGGGCUUAACCUGGGAACUGCAUUUGUGACUGGCGGGCUAGAGUAUGGCAGAGGGGGGUAGAAUUCCACGUGUAGCAGUGAAAUGCGUAGAGAUGUGGAGGAAUACCGAUGGCGAAGGCAGCCCCCUGGGCCAAUACUGACGCUCAUGCACGAAAGCGUGGGGAGCAAACAGGAUUAGAUACCCUGGUAGUCCACGCCCUAAACGAUGUCAACUAGUUGUCGGGUCUUCAUUGACUUGGUAACGUAGCUAACGCGUGAAGUUGACCGCCUGGGGAGUACGGUCGCAAGAUUAAACUCAAAUGAAUUGACGGGGUCAUAGC
This 576-nucleotide ribosomal RNA is filed under the name uncultured bacterium. Its description in RNAcentral is "partial 16S ribosomal RNA". It matches the Rfam family "Bacterial small subunit ribosomal RNA", at positions 355 to 925 of the family's 1533-position model. The record is from RNAcentral.